GACGAACGCUGGCGGCGUGCCUAAUACAUGCAAGUCGAGCGGACCGACGGGAGCUUGCUCCCUUAGGUCAGCGGCGGACGGGUGAGUAACACGUGGGUAACCUGCCUGUAAGACUGGGAUAACUCCGGGAAACCGGGGCUGAUACCGGAUGCUUGAUUGAACCGCAUGGUUCAAUCAUAAAAGGUGGCUUUUAGCUACCACUUGCAGAUGGACCCGCGGCGCAUUAGCUAGUUGGUGAGGUAACGGCUCACCAAGGCGACGAUGCGUAGCCGACCUGAGAGGGUGAUCGGCCACACUGGGACUGAGACACGGCCCAGACUCCUACGGGAGGCAGCAGUAGGGAAUCUUCCGCAAUGGACGAAAGUCUGACGGAGCAACGCCGCGUGAGUGAUGAAGGUUUUCGGAUCGUAAAACUCUGUUGUUAGGGAAGAACAGGUACCGUUCGAAUAGGGCGGUACCUUGACGGUACCUAACCAGAAAGCCACGGCUAACUACGUGCCAGCAGCCGCGGUAAUACGUAGGUGGCAAGCGUUGUCCGGAAUUAUUGGGCGUAAAGCGCGCGCAGGCGGUUUCUUAAGUCUGAUGUGAAAGCCCCCGGCUCAACCGGGGAGGGUCACUGGAAACUGGGGAACUUGAGUGCAGAAGAGGAGAGUGGAAUUCCACGUGUAGCGGUGAAAUGCGUAGAGAUGUGGAGGAACACCAGUGGCGAAGGCGACUCUCUGGUCUGUAACUGACGCUGAGGCGCGAAAGCGUGGGGAGCGAACAGG
RNAcentral lists this ribosomal RNA (767 nucleotides) under uncultured Bacilli bacterium. RNAcentral describes it as "bacterial SSU rRNA". It matches the Rfam family "Bacterial small subunit ribosomal RNA", at positions 28 to 776 of the family's 1533-position model. Lineage: Bacteria; Bacillati; Bacillota; Bacilli. The record is from RNAcentral.